RNAcentral lists this long non-coding RNA (3185 nucleotides) under Marmota monax (woodchuck). Lineage: Eukaryota; Metazoa; Chordata; Mammalia; Rodentia; Sciuridae. The record is from RNAcentral.
GUGCGGGUCGCUGGGUUCUGAUCCUCUCUCUCUCUCUCUCUCUCUCUCUCUCUCUCUCAGAAGAAAAAAGAAAAGAAAAGGGUUAUUUUUGCUUGUUUUGGAGGUUUUAGCCCCUGACUGGUCGGCCCCGUGGCUUUGGGCCUAUGGUGAGGCACUGAUCGGGGCAGAAGCAUGUGGCCGAGCAGAACCACUGGCUUGUGGCCAGGAAGCAAAAGAGAAGAAGGGGCGGACCGGGGUUUCGCAGUCCCCUCAGAGGGCACCCUGCCAACGCCUGAGGCCCUCUCUCUAGACCCACCUCCCAAAGACUGCACCACCUCCUGAAAGCACCAUGCCAGGGACCAAAUCCUAACACAUGGGCCUCUCAGGGACCUUUCAGAUCUAAACCAUAACCCUGGCUUUCAGGGGUGGGUUUUUUGUCUGUUUUUUGGUACCACGGAUUGAACUCUGACACUCGACCACUGAGCCACACCCCCAGCCCUAUUUUGUAUUUUAUUUAGAGACAGGGUCUCACUGAGUUGCUUAGCAUAUCGCUUUUUGCUGAGGCUGGCUUUGAGCUCACGAUCCUCCUGCCUCAGCCUCCUGAGUCACUGGGAUUACAGGAGUAAGCCACUGCACCCAGCUUAAAUUUUAUUUUUUUUGACAUAGGUUCUUGCUUAGUCGAGGCUGGCCUGGGACUUGCAAUCCCCCUGCUUCAUCCUCCCGAGUCUCUGGAAUUACAGGCGUGCACCACCAUGCCCAGCAGCAAAAUGAAUUUUUAAAUCCCAGCUGUUUUGUUUUGUUUUUUUCUUGAUUUUGUCCACGAGUUUGAGCUUCUAUUUCCAGGAUGGUAGACUCCUCCUGAACUCGCCCUCCUUCGGGUAGUGCCACAAGCCAGGCAGCACGCAAACCAGCAUUAGCUGUGGUCACAGGGAGUGAGCCCAGGCCCAGACUCUGGAGAGGAGCCAGCACUAGGAAGCAGGGCAGGGCCGGUGAGCCACCUGUGUCUGAGGUCAAGACCCAGGCCAGACCAUGAAGGGCAGGUAAAACUCCAGCAACAACCUGAAGAGCUGGAAGGCAGAGUGAGGCAGUGGCACCUCUGGAAGGCAAGGGGCAUCCCAGAGAAGGGGAGACCCAUAUCAGAUGAUAACUCUUGCCUCGGUCUUUAGUUGACCUCUGAACCACGGUCAGCCAGACCCCAAACAGCCUGACCAAAGGACAGAGUGUGCUGGGCACAGUGGCGUAUUCCUGUAAUCCCAACAAUUUGGGAGGCUGAGGCAGGAGGAUCACAAGUUUGAGGCCAGCCUGGGCAACCUAGUGAGGUCCUGUCCCCAAAAAUAAAUCAAGUGGGGAUGCAGCCCAGUGGUAGAGCACCCCUAGGUUCAACCUCCAGUACAAAAACACAAAGUUCCCCAAGGAUAGAGUGUGGUCUGAGUCCCGUCAAGUCAAUUGCCAACUAACACAAAAAAUCAGCACUACUUUAAAAGAAUGCAGACUUACCACAGACUAUCAUCAUGUCAAGGACACAAUCCAAAAUCAACCAAUAUUAAAAGAAAAUAAUGUGAUUUCAUUCUCAAAAAAAAGAAGGCUGGAGAUCGACCCUGACAGGACCCAGAUGAUGGAGUUAACAAGCCGGGAUGUCAAGGCAACCCCAUGACCGUGCCCACUGGUGUGCAGAACAUAGGCUUUCAACAGUGGAUAGAUGGAGACAGUCAUGGCAGAUCACAGGAACCACAGGUCUGAAUGGAGAUUCUGGAACUGAAAAUGAAAAUGUUUUCAGUGAAAGUUAACUGGACUAAGAGCAAAGCAGGGAUCACGCAGUGAACUUGACCGUGUCUCAGUAGAACUUAUCCAAUCUAAAGGAAGCGCCUGUGGGGCAAUGUCACAUGCCUGUGUGUGACACAGUUUACAAAGAGAGGAGAGAAGGAAUGGAGUGGGGAAAGGUAUCUGGCGGAAAAAAUGACUGGAACUUCCUACAUGUGGUGAGAAACAUGAACUUACAUAUGUAAGAAAUUCUGGGGCUGGGGAUAGAGCUCAGCUGGUAGAGGCUUGACUCACAUGCACAAGGCCCUGGGUUCCAUCCCCAGCACCACAAAAGAAAAAGAAAAAUUCUGUGAUCAACUCAAGGAGAACCAAGUGUAGGUACAUCAUAGUCAAAUUGCUGGAAAGCAAAUACGAAAUGAAAAAAAUUUUUAAAAAGAGCCCUAGAAAAACAACACAUGGCAUGCAGGGGUAGAGGCUAGAACUGGCUGACUUCUCAGAAACCAUGGAAACCACAUGCGAAGGCCCUGGGUUUGAUCCUCAGCACCACGUAAAAAUAAAUUAAUAAAGUAAAUAAAUAAAUAAAGAUAUUGUGUCCUACUGCAAUUAAAACACAAAUAUUUAAAAAAUCAGUAAAUGGGAUGGACUCAAACUAAAAAGCUUCUUCUCAGCAAAAGAAAUAAUCCAUGAGGUGAAUAGAGAGCCUGCUAAUUGGGAACAAAUUCUUACAACACGCACAUCAAAUACAGCACUAAUCUCUAGAUAUAAAGAACGCAAAAAUCUUAACACCAGAAAAACAACCCAAUCAGUAAAUGGGCCAAGGUACUGAACAGACACUUCUCAGAAAGUGAUAUACAACCAAUCAACAAAUACAUGAAAAAUGUUCAACAUCUCUAACAAUUAGAGAAAUGCAAAUCAAAACUACUCCAAGACUUCAUCUCACUGCAGUCAGAAUGGCAGCUAUUAAGAAUACAAACACCUGUAAGUGUUGGCGAGGAUGUGGGGGAAAGGCACACUCAGACAUUGCUGGUGGGACUGCAAACUGGUGCAGCCAAUAUGGAAAACAGUAUGGAGAUUCCUUGGAAAACUGGGAAUGGCACCACUAUUUGACCCAGCUAUCCCACUCCUUAGUCUAAACCCAAAGGACUUAAAAUCAGCAUACUACAGGGACACAGCCACAUCCAUGUUUAUAGCAGCACAAUUCACAAAAGCUAAACUGUGGAGCCAACCUAGAUGCCCUUCAGUGAAUGAAUGGAUAAAGAAAAAAUGUGGCAUAUGUACACAGUGGAAUGUUACUCAGCAGUAAGAGAGAAUAAAAUCAUGGCAUGUGCAGGUAAAUGGAUGGAGCUGGAGAAUAUAAUGCUAAGUGAAGUUAGCCAAUCCCAAAAAACAAAUGCCGAAUGGUUUCUCUGAUGUGAGAGGCUGACUCAUAAUAUGCUGCAGGGGGG